This 254-nucleotide ribosomal RNA is filed under the name uncultured bacterium. RNAcentral's name for it is "partial 16S ribosomal RNA". It matches the Rfam family "Bacterial small subunit ribosomal RNA", at positions 524 to 776 of the family's 1533-position model. The record is from RNAcentral.
UACGGGGGGGGGCAAGCGUUGUUCGGAAUUACUGGGCGUAAAGGGCUCGUAGGUGGCCAACUAAGUCAGACGUGAAAUCCCCAGGCUCAACCUGGGAACUGCGUCUGAUACUGGAUGGCUUGAAUUCGGGAGAGGGAUGCAGAAUUCCAGGUGUAGCGGUGAAAUGCGUAGAUAUCUGGAGGAAUACCGGUGGCGAAGGCGGCAUCCUGGACCGAGAUUGACACUGAUGAGCGAAAGCUAGGGGAGCAAACGGG